UAACGAAUCUUCCCCAAUGCACGAAAGUGUGAGGGAGCGACGCCGCGUGGAGGAUGAAGUCCUUCGGGAUGUAAACUCCUGUCAGGGGUUACCAAGUUCUGAGGAGCCCCAGAGGAAGGCACGGCUAACUCUGUGCCAGCAGCCGCGGUAAGACAGAGGUGCCAAGCGUUAGGCGGAAUCACUGGGCUUAAAGCGUGUGUAGGCGGACUUUUAAGUGUCUUGUGAAAUCCCACGGCUCAACCGUGGAACUGCCUUUGAAACUGCAAAGCUUGAAUCCUGGAGAGGGUGGCGGAAUUCCUGGUGUAGGAGUGAAAUCCGUAGAUAUCAGGAGGAACACCGGUGGCGAAGGCGGCCACCUGGACAGGUAUUGACGCUGAGGUGCGAAAGUGUGGGGAGCAAACA
This 402-nucleotide ribosomal RNA is filed under the name uncultured prokaryote. RNAcentral describes it as "bacterial SSU rRNA". It matches the Rfam family "Bacterial small subunit ribosomal RNA", at positions 355 to 774 of the family's 1533-position model. The record is from RNAcentral.